ACCAUCCUUUUCUUGGGGUUGUCCAACGAGCACAGUGAGGGCAGGACUGCUAACACCUACACAACACGCUUGUAUCAACUAAAACUUUGCUUUAUGUUGGUGCAAUUUUUGAAAGA
This is a small nuclear RNA of Otolemur garnettii (small-eared galago), 116 nucleotides long. NCBI's taxonomy places the organism in Eukaryota, Metazoa, Chordata, Mammalia, Primates, Galagidae. The record is from Ensembl.